This 1797-nucleotide ribosomal RNA is filed under the name bioreactor metagenome. RNAcentral describes it as "bacterial LSU rRNA". It matches the Rfam family "Bacterial large subunit ribosomal RNA", at positions 631 to 2395 of the family's 2925-position model. The record is from RNAcentral.
CUCUAAGUGGCAAGGUUAAGGGCUUAUGGUCCGAAGCCGAAGCGAAAGCGAGUCUUAAUAGGGCGCAUAGUUGCUUGGAGUAGACCCGAAUCCGGGUGAUCUAUCCAUGGCCAGGGUGAAAUUUCUGUAACAGGAAAUGGAGGCCCCGACCAAUAUCGGUUGAAAACGGUUUGGAUGAGCUGUGGAUAGGGGUGAAAGACCAAUCAAACUCGGUAAUAGCUGGUUCUCCUCGAAAUAGCUUUAGGGCUAGCGUCACGUGGUAGCGCGCGGGGGUAGAGCACUGGAUGGGCUAGGGGUCUCACCCGACUACCGAACCCAACCAAACUCCGAAUACCGUGCGUGGUAUCGUGGCAGUCAGAAUGCGGGGGAUAAGCUCCGUAUUCAAAAGGGAAACAGCCCAGACCGCCAGCUAAGGUCCCUAAAUUACGCUAAGUGUGAAACGAUGUGUGAUUACUUAAACAACCAGGAUGUUGGCUUAGAAGCAGCCAUUCAUUUAAAGAGUGCGUAAUAGCUCACUGGUCUAGUGAUCAUGCGCGGAAAAUGUAACGGGGCUAAGCGUAAUACCGAAGCUGCGGGUUGUGUCCUUCGGGACGCAGCGGUAGAGGAGCAUUCCAUUCAGGAUUGAAGCAUGACCGUAAGGACAUGUGGACCGUAUGGAAGAGUUCAUGCCGGCAUUAGUAACGAUAAGGAAGGUGAGAAUCCUUCCCGCCGAAAGUCCAAGGAUUCCCGGGCCAGGCGAAUCCGCCCGGGGUUAGUCGGACCCUAAGUCGAGGCCGAAAGGCGUAGACGAUGGAAAACAGGCACAAAGAUUCCUGUACCACCACGCAACCGUUUGAGCGAUGGGGUAACGCAGGAGGAUAGGACAGCUGACUAUCGGAUGUCAGUCUAAGCGUGUGGGCCGCAGCCCAGGCAAAUCCGGGCUGCAUUAAGGCUGAGGCGUUAAGGGACGUGGACCUCUUCGGAGCGAAGCGGAUUGUUUGAUUCCACACUGCCAAGAAAAACCUCUAGUGAGGUUGCUGGUGACCGUACCGCAAACCAACACAGGUGGACGAGAUGAGUAUUCUAAGGCGCUCGGGUGAUUCACCCUUAAGGAACUCGACCAAUUAGCCCCGUAUCUUCGGAAGAAGGGGUGCUCUUGGUGGUGAUGGCCCUGCGGCCGGAGCUGCCGGGAGCGACAGUAAAGUGGCUCGGGCGACUGUUUACUAAAAACACAGGUCUCUGCUAAGUCGCAAGACGAUGUAUAGGGACUGACGCCUGCCCAAUGCCGGAAGGUUAACGGGAGGAGUCAAGGCGAAAGCUGGCAGCUCUGAACCGAAGCCCCGGUUAAUGGCGGCCGUAACUAUAACGGUCCUAAGGUAGCGAAAUUCCUUGUCGGGUAAGUUCCGACCUGCACGAAUGGCGUAACGAUCCGAGCAUUGUCUCAAGGGUGAGCCCGGUGAAGUUGUAUUACGAGUGAAGAUGCUCGUUACCCGCAUAAGGACGGCAAGACCCCGUGCACCUUUACUACAGCUUGAUAUUGGAUUUAGUAACCUCUUGUAUAGGAUAGGUGGGAGACGUUGAGACUGGAGCGCUAGCUUCGGUGGAGUCAACCUUGGAAUACCACCCUGGUUGUUAUUGAAUUCUAACUUCGAUCCCGUGAAUCCGGGCGGAGGACAGUGUCUGGUGGGUAGUUUGACUGGGGCGGUCGCCUCCCAAAGUGUAACGGAGGCGCCCCAAGGUUCCCUCAGCAUGUUUGGAAAUCAUGCGUAGAGUGUAAAGGCAUAAGGGAGCUUGACUGCGAGACCUACAAGUCGAGCA